GGGGCUGUAGCUCAGCCGGGAGAGCGCAUGGAUCGCACCCAUGAGGCCAGGGGUUCGAAUCCCCUCAGCUCCACCU
RNAcentral lists this transfer RNA (76 nucleotides) under Anaerolineaceae bacterium 4572_32.1. Its description in RNAcentral is "tRNA-Ala". It matches the Rfam family "tRNA". Rfam says of the family: Transfer RNA (tRNA) molecules are approximately 80 nucleotides in length. The record is from RNAcentral. Lineage: Bacteria; Bacillati; Chloroflexota; Anaerolineae; Anaerolineales; Anaerolineaceae.